Callithrix jacchus (white-tufted-ear marmoset) is the source of this 3981-nucleotide non-coding RNA. The record is from RefSeq and is a predicted model, not a curated record. NCBI's taxonomy places the organism in Eukaryota, Metazoa, Chordata, Mammalia, Primates, Cebidae.
CCCACGCUCGCGAGUCCUUUAGGGGGAUCCCCGCUCCCUGAGAUGGUCGGCGCCUGGUCGUCGCGGCCUCGCGCUGGUUGAAGUAGAAACUUGGCCCUGGCGGGUCUGCGUGUUCCUGGUCUCAAGGCCGUGGUUCAGGCCAAGGUGAGUGAGAGCAACAUUGGAUCAUGGGAUCUUGGUUGCCCUGCAACUCAAGAGAUACCUGGCUUCAAUGUUAGCAGUGAGCAACAGCAGAGCUGAGAACAGAGACGGGGUCUUGCUCUGUUGCUCAGGCUGGAGUGAAGUGACACGAUCACAGCUGACUGCAGUAUGUAACCUUUUGGGAUUGGCAUUUUUCACUCAGUAGAACUCUCUGGAGAUUGAUCCAGAAUGUUUUAGGCAUAGGCGUUGCUCCCGCCCUGGAGCUCUAGGUCGGCGUCCUCCCGCGAGCAAGUGAAGUGCUGGGUCUAAGGGUGCCCAAGGAGCCCCCAGAACGCUCCAGUAGCCGAGUAGCCGUGUCAGAGGCAGCAGGUGGCCACUUUCGCCCUGAGGGGGCUCCGCAGCUGCCUGCAGCCCUCUGCCAGUGCUGACCCUUCUCUUCGCGGACCCCACGCCAAGCAGCUACCCUGAGUUGACAGCCUGAGCGCCCGGCAAUGGCAGCCUGGAUGGCCUCGCACCCGCCCAUCAAUGGGAUCCUGAAGAACAAAACCUCUACGACUUCCUCUAUGGUGGCAUCUACCGAACAGGCUGCGGUUGUGUCGACGAGGAACUGAGCACAAAAUCCCAGAAGUGGGAUGAAAUGAACAUCCUGGCGACGUAUCAUCCAGCAAAGACAAUGGUUUAAUGAAAAUAGAUGAACCAAGCACUCCUUACCACAGUAUGUUGGGUGAUGAUGAAGAUGCGUGCAGUGAUACAGAAGCCACUGACGCCAUGGCACCAAGUAUCUUAGCUAAGAAAUUAGCUGCUGCUGAAGGCUUGGAGCCAAAAUAUCGGAUUCAGGAACAAGAAGGCCGUGGAGAGGAUAGUGACCUCUCACCUGAAGAAGGAGAGAAAAAAGCGACAAUUUGAAAUGCAAAGGAAGAUUCACUACAGUGAAGGACUCAAUAUCAAACUAGCUAGACAAUUAAUUUCAAAAGAACUAUAUGUUGAUGAUGAAGAUGAAGCAAUGUUAGAGACUCCGGGUGGAGAAAGCCUGAAUAUGGAAGAAUCAAAUCAAGGUUCUACUGCAAGUGACCAACAGCAAAACAAACCACGAAGUUCAUAGGAGAGAUUUGUUCAACACUGCAGUUGUUUGUUAGAUAUAAACCCUGUUGCUAUAAUCUAUUGCUUCUUCUUCCCCACAAUUCAUGACUUAAGCACCAAAAUGAUACCAGUUAUUAUACAUUGCCAAGAAUUAAAUGAUGACCUUAGAGGCUGACUAGACUGAAAAUGCCUGGUUGAGAUAUAUAUAUUCUUGUGCCUAGCACUUUACCACAAAUACAGUGUAAUAUCAUCAGUCCAAAACUGCACUACUUUUGUAAAAACACUGGCGAAUUUGUAUAAGAUCGUGUAUAGUUUUGUGUAUUAGAGGUUAAGCAAUAUCUUUGGGGGGGAACUAAUUUAUUUUCAUCACUCUAAAUAUGGUGGUAGCUCUUAUAAAGUUUCUUGAUUUGUUGUUGUUUUAAAUCAAAAGCCAAUUGAACAACAGGAUAUGUAGACUGAAAAAUAUUCAUGCUGAAUAGUAUUUUACCACUUGCCUUCAAUUUGAUUUGUCUGUUUCAUUGAAAAGGAUUCUAAGUCAGUUGCAUUUUCUGGCCACUACCUUUAAAAUUCCUGUUGAGUUUCUUUGUAUUUACAAGGAAAGGUCUGAACUUUUUCUCAUCAAAACUAGCCUUUUUUCCUCCCUACGUAUUAUAAAGUUAAACUUGCACUAAUGUCUGCUUUUUUUUUUUAAAUGUUUUUGAUACACUGAGCAGACUUCAGAGCAGUUUUUUAAAAAAAUAAACAUUCUAAUGUAGUUUAUCUCAGCACUCCCUUUAAAUACCUGUCUUAACCUUCUGCUUUUAUUUCCGACCCUUUUCCACACAUAUGCACACAAUGUUUUACCUUUUAAAGGAUUAUUAAGAUUGUCACAACAUUAGGAACUCUUUAUGCCUGUCAAUUCUUCUAAUACAUGAAGAAAAUAGAUUGAGUAACAGCAGUAAUAGGUGGGAAAUACAGUUUAACUGCUGAAUUUCUAUACUUCUCUGAUUUACAGCUUGCUAAUUAAAUUGCUAUUAUUAGUUUGUCUUAAUUACACUUAAGAAAACAACUGACUGAGGGUUUUCUUUUUUGUUUUUUGAGGGUUUUUAUGUUUUGUUUUUUGAGGUUUUAUUUUUUUUUUUGGCAUGAAGAGAGAAUUGUAUGUAACCCAUGAUACGGUUAUUGCUGAAUGUACAGACAGAAGCAAGCAUGGACAUUGUUUAGUUCAAAAACUUUAAAUAGUCACUGCUUUAAGGGAAUAUGAUAAUGUAUACUAUGACAAAUGUACCUUAUUCUUCUAACACAGUAAGAAUUACUUGGAAUUUUUCCUGAAAUGAAGUUCAGGAAAGCCCUGUGUAUCUUAGUUUAGUGGUGGCUCAUUUCUAGCCAUAUGAAUUGUAUACAAUUUUUGUUAGUACCAAAAUAAUCUGUUAUAUGAACAGACUUCUAAAAUAAUGUCUGUAUAUUAUAUAUAUAUGAAGGCUUUUAUUGAACAGUUUAUCUUUCAUGUGCAAGUUAAUGGAAAUAUCAGUAGGUCAAAAUAAAUAAAAAGUGGGGAAUUCUUUGCUGUUAGAAGAAUGUGCUUAUUAUUUUGAUUUCUUAAAUGGGAUACAAAGUACUGCUGAACUAUAGGUAAAGUAUCUACUAAACAUUUCAGCUAGUAAUACCACUGAUUUAGAAAAAAACUUUUUUUUUUUUUUUGCUUUCUGAAUUUAGAAUGUUGGGAUUACCUGUUUAAAUCUGUUUUGAGGGAUGUAGAGAUUAAGUCUGUACAGGUUGGGUGCAGUAGCUCACGCCCGUAAUCUCAACACUUUGGGAGGCUGAGGCAGGCAGAUCACGAGGUCAGGAGUUUGAGACCAGCUGGCCAACAAGGUGAAAUCCCAUCUCUACUAAAAAGACAAAAGUUAGCCUGGCGUGGUGGUGAGUGCUUGUAAUCCCAGCUAUUUGGGAGGCUGAGGAAGGAGAAUUGCUUGAACCUGGGAGGUGGAGGUUGCAGUGAACCAAGACCUUGUCAUUGCACUCUAGUCUGGGCGACAGAGUGAGACUGCAUCUCAAAAUAGAGAGACAGAGAGAGAGAGAGAGAUUGAUUAAGUCUGUACAUAUGUGUGCACAUAUAUUCAUGCACUCUCUGAUUUUGGUUUCCUCAUUUUUGAGUUCCUAGAAAGUAUUCACAUACUCCUUUUUUUUUUUUUUUUUUUUUUUUUUGGUAGAAGUAGCUAUUGUAGAAUGAAGAAAAGGGUAAGACUUUAAACAGUUGAUUCUUUUUGUGUUUUCUACAAACUAUUUUUUGAAAUUUAAAUCACAAGCAAACUCAUUUUCUGGUUUUUAGAAAGUAGAUGAUGAUUUCAGAGGCAUAAGACAUGCCGAACAGCAUGCUCAGUGGGAUUUUAGGUAGUCAAGUGCAGCUGAGAAAAAGUCUUUUCAAGUCAUAAGUUGCUAAUUGAUAUGGUAUGAACUAGUCAAAAUAUGAACCAUUAUGAUUCAAGUUAGAUUUUCCUCUAGAGACAGAUCUGAAUGUUUAUUUCUAGCGAAGGCAGAUUUUACUUUCAACUUUUAAAUCAAUAUCACUUUCUGUGCUUAACUCUUUGGUGUUACCUUGUCCAUUUUCAUUUGUCUAAAAUUCUGCAGGGAUGACUAAAAUUUGACAUAAUGAUAUAAAUGGAUUGUUAAGGGUAACUUUAAGCUGAAGAUUAAAGCAAGAUGCCAUUUUCCCUAUGACUUUCAUUUUGUUUAUAUUUUUUUCUUUAUGUUAGUAUACACUACACAUACUAUAAUAAAAUA